AGUGAACGCUGGCGGUAGGCCUAACACAUGCAAGUCGAACGGCAGCACAGUAAGAGCUUGCUCUUACGGGUGGCGAGUGGCGGACGGGUGAGGAAUACAUCGGAAUCUACUUUUUCGUGGGGGAUAACGUAGGGAAACUUACGCUAAUACCGCAUACGACCUACGGGUGAAAGCAGGGGAUCUUCGGACCUUGCGCGAUUGAAUGAGCCGAUGUCGGAUUAGCUAGUUGGCGGGGUAAAGGCCCACCAAGGCGACGAUCCGUAGCUGGUCUGAGAGGAUGAUCAGCCACACGGGAACUGAGACAGGGUCCAGACUCCUACGGGAGGCAGCAGUGGGGAAUAUUGGACAAUGGGCGCAAGCCUGAUCCAGCCAUACCGCGUGGGUGAGGAAGGCGUUCGGGUUGUAAAGCCCUUUUGUUGGGAAAGAAAAGCAGCAGGUUAAUACCCCGCUGUUCUGACGGUACCCAAAGAAUAAGCACCGGCUAACUUCGUG
This 492-nucleotide ribosomal RNA is filed under the name uncultured bacterium. RNAcentral's name for it is "partial 16S ribosomal RNA". It matches the Rfam family "Bacterial small subunit ribosomal RNA", at positions 29 to 507 of the family's 1533-position model. The record is from RNAcentral.